CCGCGUUGCCGCGGUCGGGUCCGGUGGUGUCGGCGCUGUGGGCGUCGGAAGCGGCGAUCUACGGCCGUUUCGGCUACGGCGUCGCGACC
This 89-nucleotide transfer RNA is filed under the name Actinokineospora globicatena. RNAcentral's name for it is "tRNA-His". The record is from RNAcentral. Lineage: Bacteria; Bacillati; Actinomycetota; Actinomycetes; Pseudonocardiales; Pseudonocardiaceae.